This 458-nucleotide ribosomal RNA is filed under the name uncultured eukaryote. RNAcentral describes it as "bacterial SSU rRNA". It matches the Rfam family "Eukaryotic small subunit ribosomal RNA", at positions 616 to 1129 of the family's 1831-position model. The record is from RNAcentral.
CAGUUAAAAAGCUCGUAGUUGAAUAUCCGGCGUCAAUGACGUCUGCCCAAUGAGCCUUUGAUACUAUAAUUAGUUUUGAUUGAUCAAAUGGGCGUUUACUGUGAACAAAUUAGAGUGCUCAAAACAGGCUUUAGCUUGAAUUUUUCAGCAUGGAAUAAUAAAAUACGACUUCUUUCAUUUUAUUGGUUAUUGGGAGAAGUAAUGGUUAACAGGAACAGUUGGGGGUAUUCGUACUUAAAAGUCAGAGGUGAAAUUCUUAGAUUUUUUAAAGACGAACUAAUGCGAAGGCAUUUACCAAGGAUGUUUUCAUUAAUCAAGAACGAAAGCGUUGGGAUCAAAAAGGAUCAGAUACCCUUGUAGUCAACGCCGUAAACGAUACUGACUAGGGAUUGGUGAGGAACACCCUCAUCAGCACCUAAUGAGAAAUCCNAGUCUUUGAGUUCUGGGGANAGUAUGGU